AUCCGAUAAAGGCAAACUCAGGGGAACCUGAGGACGCAAAACUACAGGGGCUAAAGUCUUGACCAGCCAGCCAGUUGCCGAA
Molecule: non-coding RNA, 82 nt
Filed under: Mesobacillus subterraneus
Lineage: Bacteria; Bacillati; Bacillota; Bacilli; Caryophanales; Bacillaceae
Description: Bacillus subterraneus c-di-GMP sequence
Rfam family: c-di-GMP-I riboswitch aptamer
About the family: GEMM was predicted in a large-scale screen for bacterial structured RNA regulatory elements. Genes associated with GEMM are involved in a diverse array of functions, including chemotaxis regulation, signal transduction, secretion and chitin.
Source: RNAcentral